RNAcentral lists this ribosomal RNA (498 nucleotides) under uncultured bacterium. Its description in RNAcentral is "bacterial SSU rRNA". It matches the Rfam family "Bacterial small subunit ribosomal RNA", at positions 297 to 793 of the family's 1533-position model. The record is from RNAcentral.
UGUGUCGCCUUCCUCCCACGACUACGCUAUGACUCCUACGGGAGGCAGCAGUGGGGAAUAUUGCACAAUGGGGGAAACCCUGAUGCAGCCAUGCCGCGUGUGUGAAGAAGGCCUUCGGGUUGUAAAGCACUUUCAGUAGGGAGGAAGGUAGUGUAGUUAACACCUGCAUUAUUUGACGUUACCUACAGAAGAAGCACCGGCUAACUCCGUGCCAGCAGCCGCGGUAAUACGGAGGGUGCGAGCGUUAAUCGGAAUUACUGGGCGUAAAGCGCAUGCAGGCGGCCUGUUAAGUCAGAUGUGAAAGCCCCGGGGCUUAAACCUCGGAAUUGCAUUUGAAACUGGCAGGCUAGAGUCUUGUAGAGGGGGUAGAAUUUCAGGUGUAGCGGUGAAAUGCGUAGAGAUCUGAAGGAAUACCAGUGGCGAAGGCGGCCCCCUGGACAAAGACUGACGCUCAGAUGCGAAAGCGUGGGGAGCAAACAGGAUUAGAUACCCUGGUAG